GUUCUCAUAGUUGAAUAACAACAGCGGUUCUUCAAGUCGCUGGUCUUGGUUAAAAUCCAGGUGGGAACU
RNAcentral lists this transfer RNA (69 nucleotides) under Tuberoschistura baenzigeri. Its description in RNAcentral is "tRNA-Glu". It matches the Rfam family "tRNA". Rfam says of the family: Transfer RNA (tRNA) molecules are approximately 80 nucleotides in length. Their secondary structure includes four short double-helical elements and three loops (D, anti-codon, and T loops). Further hydrogen bonds mediate the characteristic L-shaped molecular structure. tRNAs have two regions of fundamental functional importance: the anti-codon, which is responsible for specific mRNA codon recognition, and the 3' end, to which the tRNAs corresponding amino acid is attached (by aminoacyl-tRNA synthetases). tRNAs cope with the degeneracy of the genetic code in two manners: having more than one tRNA (with a specific anti-codon) for a particular amino acid; and 'wobble' base-pairing, i.e. permitting non-standard base-pairing at the 3rd anti-codon position. Lineage: Eukaryota; Metazoa; Chordata; Actinopteri; Cypriniformes; Nemacheilidae. The record is from RNAcentral.